This 419-nucleotide ribosomal RNA is filed under the name uncultured bacterium. Its description in RNAcentral is "bacterial SSU rRNA". It matches the Rfam family "Bacterial small subunit ribosomal RNA", at positions 79 to 507 of the family's 1533-position model. The record is from RNAcentral.
UUCGGGGGUGUAUAAAGUGGCGAACGGGUGAGUAACGCGUGGGUAACCUGCCCUGAAGUGGGGGACAACCCUGGGAAACCAGGGCUAAUACCGCAUAAGGUGUCCGGGAGGCAUCUCCUGGAUAUUAAAGGAGCAAUCCGCUUUUGGAUGGACCCGCGUAGGAUUAGCUAGUUGGUGAGGUAGUGGCUCACCAAGGCGACGAUCCUUAGCCGGCCUGAGAGGGCGAUCGGCCACACUGGGACUGAGACACGGCCCAGACUCCUACGGGAGGCAGCAGUGGGGAAUAUUGCGCAAUGGGCGAAAGCCUGACGCAGCAACGCCGCGUGGGGGAUGAAGGCCUUCGGGUUGUAAACCCCUUUGAUCAGGGAAGAAGCCUCACGGUGACGGUACCUGAAGAACAAGCCCCGGCUAACUACGUG